GGGGGUGUCAAGGUUUCGACUUAGAAGUGAGGCAUAGGUGGCAUGCAGAGGAUGAUCGGUUGGCCUCUUUAAUCUUCCGAUUAAACAAUAAACGACGAAUCUUACGAUUUGUCCCUCAACGCUGCUUAACCGCAGUUUGUGAGGCGGUAGCCUGAGAUCUGACCGGGAGUUUCAGAUGUCUACUGUCAUACGUCUUGGUAUGAACCCUUUCCCUUUGGGAUGAUCUAGGAAGGAGUUCGAGAUAGAGAAAGUCCAGUUAGCCCUUUGCGAUCCGAGCUUUUCGUCAGGCUAAUUUAUUUUUAAGGCUCUAAGCAUGUAGUCAUCGAUGUUCCGAGUUUGCUAAGGACGAGAGUUCAAUUCUCUCCACCUCCAA
RNAcentral lists this transfer-messenger RNA (373 nucleotides) under Chlamydiae bacterium RIFCSPHIGHO2_01_FULL_44_39. It matches the Rfam family "transfer-messenger RNA". From Rfam's summary of the family: Bacterial tmRNA, also known as 10Sa RNA or SsrA, is named for its dual tRNA and mRNA-like properties. Its role is to liberate the mRNA from a stalled ribosome. Lineage: Bacteria; Pseudomonadati; Chlamydiota. The record is from RNAcentral. RNAcentral also lists the same sequence under 5 other names.